CACCAGCGGUGGAGCAUGUGGUUUAUUCGAAGCAACGCGCAGAACCUUACCAGCUCUUGACAUUUGGUGCUACCACGGGAGACCGUGGGUUCCCUUCGGGGACGCCAGGACAGGUGCUGCAUGGCUGUCGUCAGCUCGUGUCGUGAGAUGUUGGGUUAAGUCCCGCAACGAGCGCAACCCUCGCCCUUAGUUGCCAGCAUUGAGUUGGGCACUCUAGGGGGACUGCCGGUGAUAAGCCGAGAGGAAGGUGGGGAUGACGUCAAGUCCUCAUGGCCCUUACGGGCUGGGCUACACACGUGCUACAAUGGCGGUGACAGUGGGCAGCGAAGGGGUGACCCGGAGCUAAUCUCCAAAAGCCGUCUCAGUUCGGAUUGUUCUCUGCAACUCGAGAGCAUGAAGUUGGAAUCGCUAGUAAUCGCGUAACAGCAUGACGCGGUGAAUACGUUCCCUAAACCUUGUACCCACCCGCUCGUA
Molecule: ribosomal RNA, 474 nt
Filed under: Pannonibacter phragmitetus
Lineage: Bacteria; Pseudomonadati; Pseudomonadota; Alphaproteobacteria; Hyphomicrobiales; Stappiaceae
Description: bacterial SSU rRNA
Rfam family: Bacterial small subunit ribosomal RNA
Source: RNAcentral